UCAGCUUCAGAAAAGGAGUUUCUCAGCUUCCCAUUAUUAUCAUUUAAUAAUAGGAGGCAGAGCGAACAAGAAAGAAUGAAGUUUGGACUGCCAGCCACGGCUGGAGAAACUAGCGGGAAAGAAACAACCAUUACUACGUCAGAUAAACCUCUACCUUAUAGGCCACCCCCGAUGGUCAACAAAGGUGGAGGAUCUAACUGGAGAAAAUCUGAAACCAGGAGGGAAGCAAACGCGGGCAAUGACCGGAGUCCGAAGAUUGAGUCAGCUAUCCAUGGCCAGAAUGAUAAUUUAGCUACUCAGCAACUAAGAGAAGAAUUGGCUGAGUUAAGAAGAACGGUGAUUCAAAACGUCCAGCCUCGAGUUCGUCCAGUAUUCAGGGUUACCUACCAGAAGCCAUAUCCUGAAUAUAUAUCGAUGAGUUAAAUCCAUUCCCUCUUAAUUUCAAGAUUCCCGCAUUCCCGAUUUUCACAGGGGAAGAUAGCAGUGUGUCCUCCAGAGAUCAUAUUUUCAAAUUUUCUAAUCACUGUGUGGCGUAUAUGAGGACAAUCCAAACUACAAAUUGAGGUUGUUUGGAAAUUCACUAGCAGGAUUGGCAUCUUAAUGGUAUUCUCUAUUACCCCCAAUUCCAUUGCUAACUGGGGGCAAAUGGAGAUGGCUUUCCAUGAACAGUUCUACAGGAUAGAGCCAGAGCUCACCAUUAAUGAUCUGGUAGAAGUGAAACAAUAUGAUCAUGAGUCCAUCGAAGAUUUUAUGAUGAGGUUCAGAAGGACAAGGAUGAGAUGUCAGUUCCCUGUCAACCAGGCACAGCUCAUAUCCAUUGCUCAAAGGGCUUUAAAAUUACCUUUGAGAAAAAGGUUCUAUGAUGCACAGUUUAAUGAGCUACAAGAGUUGGUGAUUGCUGCUACUAAGUAUGAGAGGCUGUUACAGGAGGAACAGCAGGUAAAACAUACUUCCAAAACUCCUCCGUUCUACAAAAAUAAAGCUACUAUUCACCAUGUAGAGGUAGGGGAAGCCGGACCCGAAUGCAAAGAUGAUCAUGAGGAGAAGAGUAUAGAUGUGUGUGCUGCUGAGAUGACCACACCCUUCAAUCCAUUGACGAUCAAAGGGUUAGUCCAACCAGUCAAGGACCAGAAGAUCGUGAUGAAUGAUGGUGGGUUCGUACCCAUGAAACCCCCAAAGUAUCAAAGUUAUUCUUUCGAUCUAACCAAGGCGCCAGAAAUCUAUGAAGAACUUGUGCGGGCAAGAGUCAUUUUGCCCGACAACACCAAAAAGAUGCCCAAGCCCGAGGAACUCAGGGGGAAGAAGUAUUGUAAGUUGCAUUAUACCUUCAACCACUCUAUAGUCAAUUGUGUCCAGUUUAGGGACUGGGUACAGGAUCUUAUAGUGAAGGGGAAGUUACUACUCGAUUCACCUCAGGCUAGUAUGAUGGUGGAUACUAACCCUUUCCCCGAAGCUCCUAUUAGCAUGAUCGACCUCGUUUUCAAGGAGUCGGGGUUAUCAACAGAGUAAAAUGCCAUUGAAAGGACCCGGGGGCAGGGGCUAAGAUUGCCAACAAUAAAGAUGGAGGAGAAAAGCAGGUAGGCAAGAGGGCAUAGAUUUGCCUGAGGCCUAUCCAAAUGGAGCAGAACAGGAGGAAUGUUACAUAUCCAUUCUAAAACAAAAAGAGAUUACAAAGUAAUUCUAUUCCAAAAACUUUACAUCUUCACAUAAGGUGAUUAUUCUAGAAUGGUAUGUUCGCAUGAUGGUAAAAAUCCUAUUUGGUUCAGCCAAAACAGUAUGGCUGUUUACAAGUUCAGACUUGGUUUGUUCUAACUCUGAAGUCGCUUUUUCCACCCCUUCGAUCUGUUGCUCAAGGUUAUCCAGAAGAGUUGUUUGCUCCGCCUUAAGGAUCAUCAGUGGUCUCUCCAACUUCUGAAUUUCAGAAGAAACAACUUCAAUCCGUUCUUUGGUCUGCAUACUCUCUUCCAUCAGCCGACUAACUUGGGUAGAGGAGCUCGAUUCUCUCUCUAUGAAGCAUUUUGCCCGGUUAGCCAGCCGGUCUGCUCUCUGAUGUUGCUCCCUGAGGGCCCUCAAGUUUUCAAAGAAAGAAAGGAAAGAAUCAUACUGAGGCUUGGAUAAGCGAUCGUUUUUAAAGAACUCAGUAAUGACUCUCUCGAGGUCACAGAGAGCCUUGAGGCUAAAUGAUGCAGUGAAUUCUUUUUUUGCCCAUGUUUGAAAGAUUUGUUGCUGCUCCGAAGACAUAUGUUUUGUUGAAGCCUACUUUGAAGACUUCAACCGCGUCUCAAGUCGCCCGAGUGCUUCGAAGAGUUUGGGCAACUUGGCAGGAUCAGAGGAGGAAGGAGAAGGGUCCGGCAUAACAGUUUCUUCUGGUGAGAUAAUGCCUAUGGAAGGGGCAAUUUCUGUUUGUUCAAUUGGUUCAUCUCUAGACAGGGAGGUGUCAACAUCUCCAGAGGAAGAAGGAGGUUGAAAGCACCUUGGGUUACAGGCCAUUGGAGGAGGGGGAGUUUCUUUUGGGGAAGCUCGCUACAAAACUUCAGGAUCAGGACAAGAUGAACUAUGCACAAGUCAAAGCAAAAGAGGCUUUGGAGAGAAGAAAGUUACCUGACUUAACCCCGGGGUUUCACCAGAGAAUGCACUAACGCCUUGUCGAGGUGAAGAUUUUUCACCACCAGUGACAGAUGGGAAAGUUGUGCCUGAACCCGUGCCUACAUCCUGGUUGUAUCCGAAGAAAGUAGUGAUGAUCAGCAAAAGGUCACCAGAGGAAGAAACAAGAAGAAAAUAUUCCAGCACCUGAGGUUGAUUUUGAGGAGAAGAAGGAGGUUCAUCGACCGUCUGGCGAGUAAGCGCUUGCGAAGUAGUUGUGUCUAAAGCUACAGGGAUCUCAGGAACUAUGGGUUCUUUAUCCAAGGCCACUGACGGGGGAAGGGGUUCAUAUCCCGAAGAUGGCUGCAAAGAACAUGGAUAGGAGUUACUUGGGUAGCAAUGUGCAAAGUUGAAAAGAAAAGAGAGAGUAACUCACCAAAGUAUCAUCCUCAUCCACAAAAAUGCAACAUGAUUUCCUGUGGAAGGAUCAAAUUGAGAAGAAGGGGUUGCAUCUAGGGUAGGUUGCGGAGAAAGACUUUCUUUCCUUGUAGCCUAAGCCAAAUUAUUCAAAAUUCAGAAAGGUUUGAAAAUAAGAAAGUAUAAAGAUAGAAGUCAUACCUCUUUAGGCGUAGCAGCCCUUCGUGAUUCCUUCUUAGAAGCAAGGGUUGACCUUUUAGAAGUUUGAGGUCCUGUUGAGUGAUAAAGGGAUAAUCAGAUAAGGGAGAAAGGUAGCCAUUUGAUCCAGAAGAGGAGAGACUCACUGGAAGAUUGUUCUGUCUCUUUACCCGCUUCAGAAACAGGAGCAGAUGGGGCUGCUGGUUUAGGAGGCACGGUGACUCUUGCCCGCUUACUCUUUCGGGUAAGAAUUGGUCGUGUGGUUGCUGAAGGAAGUGCCGGAUCGGAGAUUGUGGUUUUAGUUAUGGCCACCCUCUUUCGUUUAGAUGCUUUGAUCGUAUCCUUGGCUAUUUCUUUAAUUGUUUCUUCGGCUCCUGAAUCCCCAAGAGAUUCUGAGACGUCUGUCCCUUCCCCGGCUUCCCGCCUUUUAGCUUCUGCUGCAGCACCAUGGAGAACUGCGGCAUCAGCAGAAUCAUUCUCUGAUUCGAUGGCUUCGGAUUCAAUAUCAACUGAAGCUGCAGAAACAGGUAAGAGUGAGGAGGAAAGUAAACAACAAGGAAAGUAAAAUCGGAUGGGAAGAAAGUCACCUAUUAGGAGUAAUCGGUUUUUCUCUUGGAUCAUAUCUUUCCAAUUUGCAAGCUCGCCCGAGCUAGGAUAUGAUUUAAGAGAAAGCUGGCUAAAAAUGCGAUCGUGGUUCACUUUCAAAUCUCCUCCGUAUUUUCUAGUCCACCUUUCCUCCCACCAAGAGGAAAACAGCGAGGUACAUUCGAAAUUAAGAACAACGGAAUGUCGGGCUGCUUGGCUCAUCACGUCCAAACUACGGCGGGCAGCUCGAAAUAUUGCUUCAGAAGGAGUCUGUAACCGAAAUGAAGUGCCACAAUGGAUGGAGUCGAAGAAUGGGACAGGUAUGGAUUGCCUAAAUCCUAGUUGCCUGCUGCAGAAGUUAGGAUGAUACACCUCCAAGCCUCGAUCAUACCGAUUUCCCCGGACCCUCCAGGCCAAGUCUCUUGGCUGAAUACAGCUGAUAAACUUUUCCCUGCAGAAGGGAGCAGCAUCCUCACCAGGGGCAUCUUGGAAGGCUUGGUCAGAAAACCAAGGAUAUCUCCUCAAGACCGAUGCACCCCAUUCCAAGUCUGAUCGAGUCCUGCAGACUCGGAAAAAGUAGAAGCAUGCAAAGGUGGAAUGAUCUACAGGAGGAGCUUCAGCCAGGAUUCGGGCAGGAGCCACACCCUCUGGAAACUCUAGAUUAAUAGCCCGAAAUUCUGGAAAAUACCAUUGUAGCCAAAUCUGUAUCAUCCAGAUGGGGCCGUUCAAAUUGGUCUCAAAGGGCUCAUCCCGGGUCAUGUCAAAAAGAAGGUGAUAGAGAUGGGAGAGAAGGAAUGGACCUGUGGCAACGUCAUCAAAAAUUAUGAAGAACCUCUACCAAGGGGAUCCAUUCUACCCGUACCCCCUUGGAUUUUUGUUGGGGAAGACGUGCUUGUUAAGCCAGUAAAGAAGAAAGUACAUAUGCUCUUGAUCUUUGUCGGUUUGAGGAGAGCCUGCCCCGAAGUUCUUCUUGACAAAAGGGAUGAAUCCUUUAAAGGAGGUCCCAUAACUUUUGAAAGUAACUGAGUUAUAGCUGAGAGGAAGGAAGUAGGUGGAAGAACUUGAGCCUCCGGUGGUAGAGGAUGGAAUCCAAUCUUGAGAGUAACAUCUAUCACCCUGCCCGAUGGCCUCAACCCGAAGACUUGGGCCAUAUCAAGAAUGGUGGGAGACAUGGGACCCAUACGGAAAUCGAAGGUGUUUGUGCCCGUAUUCCAAAAGAGGAGGGCAGAAGUAAGCAAUUCGGGCUUAGGAGUAAUUGAAAUCUUCGAAAGCAUAAUCAGUUCGUAGAUGCCGUUACUACUCAUCCAUUUCUGCUUGAAGGAAGGUUCCAAUUCGUCAAUCCAUUGGGCCCAGGCAGGAUCAUUCAUCAAGGGAAAGCCUCGACGAUGAAAAGACCACUUAGAAGAAGAAAUGCCCGAGUCGGCCAAAUAAGGAUUUGGGGUAAACCAGUUUCCCCUAGGCAUAUUACUUUCUACUACUGAGGGAACCCGAGAAAUCCAGGCAGGACCCAAAGAUUGAACCCCAUGCAUCUCAAAGAAGAGUUCAAAAUGCAGACCUGCCCGCGGACGAUGCAGCCCGUUGAGCAGACGGGCGUAGAGUGGCAAUUCCUUCACCAGACUCUCGUAGGAUGGUAGGGUUUGGCCGGAUCCUGAGGCCAUUUAAUGAAGGCCGUGGGGAAGAAAAACAAGAAGAACGGUAAAGAUGCAACCUCGUCGGACAACGAGAAAGAAAUGAUGGAAGAAUUGAGGAAGUUUUUUGUUGUAUCAGAGAAGGUUUUCUUUUUACGAAACACAGAGAACGGAGAAGUUCACUCACAAGGGUUUUAAGAGUUCUAAGGGUUUAAAACAGGGGUCUCUUUCAAUUAAUGUUGGCGCUUGGGAUCCCAACCUUAACAUCAAUUGAAGGGGGCACUGUUUGGGAUAAAAUCUGAACUUUGGGCCAGAGAGAAAGUCGGCCCAAACCCAAAGCCCAGAGGAAAACUUAGGAGGCAGGAAAGAGGCUUUCGGCUGGGCACAAGUUACAAAGGCCACCUGCUUACCUGCUCAAAGACCACAGGUGGUAGGUUAUUCAGUCACUACACAGCCCAAUAAAGUACUUUAUUGGUGGCAUUCAUGUAAAAAAGCUAGUGAGUCAUCACCAAAACCGCAUUCGGGCAACCUCUAUUGCUACAGGAACCCAAGCUGAAGUCGUCUAUAAAAGGAGGAAGAGAAGACAGAAUUAAGGACACUCAAACAAACAAACAAAAGCCAAAACUCUGCUCAAGCUAGAUUUGCCUUCAACGAAGCUGUAGUCAGCACAAGCCUUCAUCCCAUUCGGGAUAAACCUUCCCAAACCCCUGUAAUAGCUCUGCUACCUUGUUCAUGGUGGUAUCGAUUCAUUUUGUAUCCUCUUCUCCCCCGUCAACCCCUCUAAAAGCUUUCAGACCUCUAACAGAGCCACAAAGAUAGAUUUUGUAAGAAGUUCAGCCUUGGCCGAUAAGGUUCAAACUUACCCGACUAUCUUUGCUCUGUCUUUGUCUUUUCUUUCUUUUAAAAGCACAAUAACAUGUUAUAUAUUCCCAGUUAUAUACAAGUUAUUUCUAGCAAAGUCAUAAUGAAAAUGAGUCUUCAGCACUUGGAUCCGAUCUGAAUCGUGUCAGAGUUCAAAUCAGAUCUAAGUCUUAAGCCCGGCGGGCGUGUAAUUUAAAGAUCAGUUUAAAAGUCCUUGGCCUCAAGGCAUAAAAAAGAACUCUAUGUGGACUCAACCCAUCCACGACAAUCCUUGAUAAGCGAGAAGUCCGAAGUUACUUGGGGCGCAAUUAAUCAAUCUAUUUCUCCGUUUUGUUGCUAUUAUAUCUUGAUUCGUAGAAAAUGCUUAAACAGGGAGUGAAUUCUGAUAGAAAGCCUCAAGGCCUACACCUAAGGCCCCACGAAGGCAUCUAUUUAGCUUCAUUUCAUGUUGUGGUCUAGUUGGUCCGAGUAUAAGGAUUAACUCUGAUGGGAAGCCUCAAGGCCUAUACCUAAGGCCCUACAAAGGCACUCAUUUGGGUUCGUCCUACCUCUUGGAUUCAGAUAAUCAAAAGUAUAAUAGUGAUAAGACUCUGGCAACCAUAAAAGACCAAAUAUGAUACAUCCAAGCGCUGGUUUAGUUUGACAGGAAGCCUCAAGGCCUAUACCUAAGGCCUCACAAAGGCACCUGUUAUAUCUAAACUGGUUUCUCGGGCGUAUACAUAUUCAAUCAAAGCUUAACACCCAUUCAACAUCUGCCAUACUGAAGAUGGCAGUGGCACGCCUGAGCACGACAAAGUUAAUCUUGAUUGUGAGCCUUAAGGCCUACAUCUAAGGCCCCACAAAGGCACCCUUUCAAAUUAACUCUGUCCUUCUCUUUCAGAACUGCCCGACGAGCCUUGCCCGAAGUGUGUCUUGCCCGACCAAGAUCUGCCCGACAAAGGCUUGCCCGAGCGAGCCCGAGAAGAAAGCAGAAGUAUGACAGAUACUCUCAACCGACGCCAUUCUCCCAGGGGAGCUGUGUGCUCGUCCGCCAGGAGAUUCUUGCGACGAACAUAGUUUUGGCACGCUCGGUGGGACAAGAAACAGCUACACUUCUAAGAUCUUACAUGUCCAAAAAGAGAAGCUAUAAACUUGCCAAAAAAGAAGCCAAGAAGGAUCUUUUCCAGAUGACAGAACAAUCAGAAAAUCCUUUAUCCCCAUCCGGACAGGUGGUCUCAGGUAGUUCGACUACAUCUGAGAAAUCACAGGGGAAAGAGAUUAAUGAAGAACUGCAAGCUACAAUGAUCCAAGUGUUGAAAAGCAUGGAAAGAAUUUCCUUGGAGACUAAGGGAGAAGUAAGCAGACUCUGUAUGCUUACAGGAAAUCUACAAAGGAGGCUGGAUUUGGAGUUCUCUACUCCAAAGGGUGCUCAAGGAAGUGGAAUGAGUCCAGUUGUUAUAAGAAGUGAGCCAAUCAUUCCUUUGUUUCCACUACUAGAAGAAGAAAAGGAUAGGGGAAAGAAGAAGGUGAUACCUGAAGGAAGUCAAGCAGUGAUGGAGUCAGCUUCAGAAAAGGAGUUUCUCAGCUUCCCAUUAUUAUCAUUUAAUAAUAGGAGGCAGAGCGAACAAGAAAGAAUGAAGUUUGGACUGCCAGCCACGGCUGGAGAAACUAGCGGGAAAGAAACAACCAUUACUACGUCAGAUAAACCUCUACCUUAUAGGCCACCCCCGAUGGUCAACAAAGGUGGAGGAUCUAACUGGAGAAAAUCUGAAACCAGGAGGGAAGCAAACGCGGGCAAUGACCGGAGUCCGAAGAUUGAGUCAGCUAUCCAUGGCCAGAAUGAUAAUUUAGCUACUCAGCAACUAAGAGAAGAAUUGGCUGAGUUAAGAAGA
This 8143-nucleotide long non-coding RNA is filed under the name Malus domestica (apple). RNAcentral's name for it is "long non-coding RNA (MDOM_LNC010838)". The record is from RNAcentral. Lineage: Eukaryota; Viridiplantae; Streptophyta; Magnoliopsida; Rosales; Rosaceae.